GGUGAAAAAUCAUCGUGUUUCAUACGCUACACUAAGUUGUACGAGAAAACUUCAUCUUUUACCAAGCAAAGUUGGUCAACUUUUUUGAAGUUCACUGCACAAUGGUGGAAAUACGACUGCUGGCAAGGUGAAAUAGCUCGGAAGUUCGUACAAAACAUCGAUCUACCUGCCAGUGCCACUGUGGAUCAGCUGGCGCUGGCAGAGCUGCUCGCCGAACUCCCACUGCCACAGGCCGUGUAUCAUCGCUCAUGCUACUGCCAGUAUACUGAUGCAUCAAAGGUCAGGAGAGCUGCUGCAGCUAAGGAGUUGAGAGACAAAGAAGCAGG
Strongylocentrotus purpuratus (purple sea urchin) is the source of this 326-nucleotide long non-coding RNA. RefSeq lists it as uncharacterized. The transcript has 2 exons. NCBI's taxonomy places the organism in Eukaryota, Metazoa, Echinodermata, Echinoidea, Camarodonta, Strongylocentrotidae. The record is from RefSeq and is a predicted model, not a curated record.